GACGAACGCUGGCGGCGUGCUUAACACAUGCAAGUCGAACGGAAAGGCCCUGCUUUUGUGGGGUGCUCGAGUGGCGAACGGGUGAGUAACACGUGAGUAACCUGCCCUGGACUUUGGGAUAACGUCAGGAAACUGGGGCUAAUACCGGAUAGGAGCUCCUGCUGCAUGGUGGGGGUUGGAAAGUUUCGGCGGUUGGGGAUGGACUCGCGGCUUAUCAGCUUGUUGGUGGGGUAGUGGCUUACCAAGGCUUUGACGGGUAGCCGGCCUGAGAGGGUGACCGGCCACAUUGGGACUGAGCUACGGCCCAGACUCCUACGGGAGGCAGCAGUGGGGAAUAUUGCCCAAUGGGCGGAAGCCUGAUGCAGCAACGCCGCGUGCGGGAUGACGGCCUUCGGGUUGUAAACCGCUUUCGCCUGUGACGCAGCGUGAGUGACGGUAAUGUGUAAAGAAGCACCGGCUAACUACGUG
Molecule: ribosomal RNA, 468 nt
Filed under: uncultured bacterium
Lineage: Bacteria
Description: partial 16S ribosomal RNA
Rfam family: Bacterial small subunit ribosomal RNA
Source: RNAcentral